This 78-nucleotide small RNA is filed under the name Flavobacterium sp. KMS. RNAcentral's name for it is "Flavo-1 RNA". It matches the Rfam family "Flavo-1 RNA". Lineage: Bacteria; Pseudomonadati; Bacteroidota; Flavobacteriia; Flavobacteriales; Flavobacteriaceae. The record is from Rfam by way of RNAcentral.
UCCUAGCCCUGAUGGGAACGGCAUCCUUUUUAUUUUUUCUUUAAAAAUAAAAAGAUAUAGUGGACAGCAGGAAGCAGC